This 2503-nucleotide ribosomal RNA is filed under the name Triticum aestivum (bread wheat). RNAcentral describes it as "partial small subunit ribosomal RNA". Lineage: Eukaryota; Viridiplantae; Streptophyta; Magnoliopsida; Poales; Poaceae. The record is from RNAcentral.
CCCGGCGCCGCCGCCGCCGCCCCCCUGCGCCGCCUCCCCGCCCAGCCCCGUCCCGCGGCUCACCUUCCGCCACCUCUCGCCCUGCGCGCGCUGGCACGACUGGGCCAGGUCGUCCCUCGCCGACCCAGGAUUCGCGCCCGUCCUCCGCGCCGCGGGCGUCCACGACGCCGUCGCGGCAUCCACCGCCGCCGUCGCCCCCGACCGCCACGCCCUGUCCGCGUUGCUCUCGCUCUGGCACCCGGGCUCCCACGCCUUCCGCCUCCCCGCCGGCCCCGCCACCUUCUCCCUCGAGGACGCGCUGCUCCUCGCCGGCCUGGCCCCGUCCGGCGCCCCGCUCGACCGGCCCCUCACCCCGACCGAGCAGGACAUCCGCGCCCGCCUCGUCGUCGAGAAGGAGAAGAUCCAGGCGCUCCACCCGUGCGCCCGCAAGGCCCGCCGCGUCUCCGCCGAGGUCUGGCUCGAGUGGUUCGAGAGCCGAAUCCGCCCCGGGGAGGACGACGAGCUGCGCCGCCUCGGCUUCCUCGCCUACUGGCUCGCCUUCUUCGUCGCCCCGCGCCUGCGGUCCAAGGGCGCCGAGCUGCCGGAGCGCGUCUUCGCGCUCGCCGCGCGGAUCAGCCUCGGGGAGCGCAUCGCGCUGGGGCCGGCCGUGGUGGCCAAUCUCUACGCCGAGAUGGACAGGAUUGUCACUACCGGGGUGGAAGAGGGGGCGAGUGGCCGCGUCGACGUCUGGGCGCCGCUCUGGCUGCUGCAGGUGUGGCUGUGGGAGCGCUACGACCGCCUGCAGCCGCCGGAGCUGAAAGCGCCGGAGUUCCCUCUCUCCAAUGUCCGGGCGCUCUAUUGGUCUCGGAGGAGGAGGAAGACCACAGAAGAGGAGGCUUUGCGUGUUCUGCAGGAAGAGGAUUCUUUCGAGUGGAGGCCUUACCUGCGCAAUUCGCUCGACUGGGCUGAACCUGAGUGGUUCAGCAAGGAAACAAUCUUGGUGAGCUCCAGAGGUAAGGAUAUGCCAGAGUGGUUGGAGGAUUACAUUGCGAUUAUGAGGCAAGCCGUGUUGACUGGAUCGUAUGGCGAUGAUAUGGAUAGUUCAGCAAUGUACAAUCCCCACAUUGUCGCGAGGCAGGUCGGUUAUGAUCAGGACGUGCCUUUUCCUCUUGUACAUGGGUUUGAUUCCAAGGGGAUCAAGUUGUGGGUACCUGGCAUCUGUAGACGCGGCGUUGCUAGCAAGGAAUAUGUUGCGUGGUUGAAUGGCGAGUUUGUGACGCACCAGGAAGCUGACCGGUUUGUUAGGCCAGUUGACGAAAUAGGCGCUGGCUCAUCUCCAAUGAAUGCAGAUACAGCAGCUGGUAAAUCUGGAGAAAGUACAAUGCAAGAUAACAGAAAACGCGUCGGAGAAGGGCAGCAGCUAGCUCAGGGGAACAAAGCAGAGGUGAUUGUCCUAGACCGUAGUAGUCCAUGUGAUAUGGACUCCAGUGCAACCGCGGUGAAAAGAAAGAAUGGGAACAGAAAAAGACGAGAUGAACUCUCUGAAAAUGGUGAUAUGCGCAAGAAAAGUAAGAUAUUUGCCAGCGAGUGCCAUGAAGGUCUGCAGCAAUAUGAUGACGGACCUUCCAUUGUCGGUUAUCCCGAGAAGAAUUCCUUGCAAUUUGACGGCCAGAAGUACCAUGGUCUCCAAAAUGAUCCUAAUUGUGACAUUAAUAGAUGUGAUGAGCUGCCACAGCCUGAGAGUGACGAUGAAUGCAUUGUUCUUGAACCAACAUGUGAAGUGAUAAACCUCGAUGAUGAUCAGGAAGAUGAGGACAGGCAACUUGUCCUCGUGCUACAAGAGUUUGUGCGCUGUGGGCUUUUCUCACAAUGGGAGGAAAGCUCUGAUGAAGAUGAGGAUGAAGGAGGUGAAGGAAAGAAAGAGACGCCGAAGAAGAGCAAUAUUGACCCUUAUGCUGAAGCAGCCAUGAGGGAGUACCCUCGGUUCUUUGAGUUCAUUCCCCAGAGACCACAUUACAGAGGGUUGGUGAACACCAGUGACACUAUACGAGAUCUGGCGUGCAGUGGACUGUGGCUCAUGUUGGUUGGCUUGGCUAGGGAGGUGCUCAAGACAUCCUGUGACACAGAAGCUUUGGAGGUUGCAUAUUUGAUGAAAAAAGCUCGGCAACUGGAACGAAAUGGGUUCAAUGUGAAGCAUCUCAUUGCCCGUCUGAGGGAGCCACAGGCCCGACUUAGAAGGCUUGAGGAUUCCAGGGCAAGGCUCGAGGAUGCCCGGACCAAAGAGCAAGAACCAAAAGAUGUGAAGUCACUCUCAAGCCAUCUGAGUAAUCUGAAACACAAUGUCCUAACAAUGCAGAGGCACUUGGAGGGAAAAAAGCAAGCUCGUAGUGCAUCUGUGCGUGAUGAGUCGAGCGAAGGAAUUGAUCUAGCCAGCCUGGAGAAGGAAGUAGAAGCUGCAGAAAAAUACUGUCAGGCGAUGAAGGAUGAAGUAGCUGCGAUGAGACUGAAAUACGCUGGCAUUUGA